This 752-nucleotide ribosomal RNA is filed under the name Agrobacterium tumefaciens. Its description in RNAcentral is "bacterial SSU rRNA". It matches the Rfam family "Bacterial small subunit ribosomal RNA", at positions 8 to 807 of the family's 1533-position model. Lineage: Bacteria; Pseudomonadati; Pseudomonadota; Alphaproteobacteria; Hyphomicrobiales; Rhizobiaceae. The record is from RNAcentral.
AGAGUUUGAUCCUGGCUCAGAACGAAACGCUGGCGGCAGGCUUAACACAUGCAAGUCGAGCGCCCCGCAAGGGGAGCGGCAGACGGGUGAGUAACGCGUGGGAAUCUACCCUUUUCUACGGAAUAACGCAGGGAAACUUGUGCUAAUACCGUAUGUGUCCUUCGGGAGAAAGAUUUAUCGGGAAAGGAUGAGCCCGCGUUGGAUUAGCUAGUUGGUGGGGUAAAGGCCUACCAAGGCGACGAUCCAUAGCUGGUCUGAGAGGAUGAUCAGCCACAUUGGGACUGAGACACGGCCCAAACUCCUACGGGAGGCAGCAGUGGGGAAUAUUGGACAAUGGGCGCAAGCCUGAUCCAGCCAUGCCGCGUGAGUGAUGAAGGCCCUAGGGUUGUAAAGCUCUUUCACCGGAGAAGAUAAUGACGGUAUCCGGAGAAGAAGCCCCGGCUAACUUCGUGCCAGCAGCCGCGGUAAUACGAAGGGGGCUAGCGUUGUUCGGAAUUACUGNACGUAAAGCGCACGUAGGCGGAUCGAUCAGUCAGGGGUGAAAUCCCAGGGCUCAACCCUGGAACUGCCUUUGAUACUGUCGAUCUGGAGUAUGGAAGAGGUGANUGGAAUUCCGAGUGUAGAGGUGAAAUUCGUAGAUAUUCGGAGGAACACCAGUGGCGAAGGCGGCUUCACUGGUCCAUUACUGACGCUGAGGUGCCGAAGCGUGGGGAGCAAACAGGAUUAGAUACCCUGUAGUCCACGCCGUAAAC